Molecule: long non-coding RNA, 200 nt
Organism: Centruroides sculpturatus (bark scorpion)
Lineage: Eukaryota; Metazoa; Arthropoda; Arachnida; Scorpiones; Buthidae
Exons: 3
Source: RefSeq, a predicted model, not a curated record
CUAUUUUUCAGAACUUUCCAAACGGAUUAGAAGAAUUACUUGGAAUUGUAUAGAGGAUAAUUCGCCCUCAGCUGAAAGAAAUGCAAUUAUAGCAAUGAUAAAGCCGUAUGAUAACUGUGUGAAAAAUUUGAACGUAGAUGACGUCGUCCGUGACCCCUUUCAGUCUGCAGAUUUAGCUGUGGUAGUUGAAUGUGUCAGUG